RNAcentral lists this transfer RNA (71 nucleotides) under Marmota monax (woodchuck). Its description in RNAcentral is "tRNA.Thr". The record is from RNAcentral. Lineage: Eukaryota; Metazoa; Chordata; Mammalia; Rodentia; Sciuridae.
GGGGUUGUGGCUCAGUGAUAGAGUGCUCGCCUAGUACAUGUGAGGCCCUAAGUUCAAUCCUCAGCACCACA